This 85-nucleotide transfer RNA is filed under the name Bacteroidales bacterium. Its description in RNAcentral is "tRNA-Leu". It matches the Rfam family "tRNA". Rfam says of the family: Transfer RNA (tRNA) molecules are approximately 80 nucleotides in length. Their secondary structure includes four short double-helical elements and three loops (D, anti-codon, and T loops). The record is from RNAcentral. Lineage: Bacteria; Pseudomonadati; Bacteroidota; Bacteroidia; Bacteroidales.
GGCGGAGUGGCGUAAUGGCAGCCGCGGGGGACUUAAAAUCCCCUGGACCGAAGGGUCCGUACGGGUUCGAGUCCCGUCUCCGCUA